RNAcentral lists this ribosomal RNA (253 nucleotides) under uncultured bacterium. Its description in RNAcentral is "partial 16S ribosomal RNA". It matches the Rfam family "Bacterial small subunit ribosomal RNA", at positions 524 to 776 of the family's 1533-position model. The record is from RNAcentral.
UACGUAGGGGGCAAGCGUUGUCCGGAAUCAUUGGGCGUAAAGCGCGUGUAGGCGGCCAGGUAAGUCCGUUCUGAAAGCCCGGGGCUCAACCCCGGGAGGCGGAUGGAUACUGCUUGGCUCGAGUCCGGAAGAGGCGAGUGGAAUUCCCGGUGUAGCGGUGAAAUGCGCAGAUAUCGGGAGGAACACCAAUGGCGAAGGCAGCUCGCUGGAACGGUACUGACGCUGAGACGCGAAAGCGUGGGGAGCAAACAGG